This is a long non-coding RNA of Sinocyclocheilus anshuiensis, 382 nucleotides long. RefSeq lists it as uncharacterized. The transcript has 3 exons. NCBI's taxonomy places the organism in Eukaryota, Metazoa, Chordata, Actinopteri, Cypriniformes, Cyprinidae. The record is from RefSeq and is a predicted model, not a curated record.
GCGUCAUUGCCAACGACUGGGCGCACUUCAUGCAAGUAAUGAUGGAUGACCUGUACCAGCCGCAGUUCAGCCUAUACCACGGCGCAAAAAGGCUGAUAAUGUCAGCCCGAAAUCUGUCGAGGGACCGAUUGGAGUCCAUUUUUAAGCUACAGUGCAUGUCACAAUAUCUGAAGGCCAGGGUGUGCAGGCGGUGGGACAAACAGUGCAGGAAUAUUUAAAUUCCGCUGACAGCUACAGUAUCUGCGACGCAAAAGGGCUGGCGAUUGCGGAUACAUCAGAGACCAAAGAUUUGGAAUUUUGGAAAACAUCGAGCCGGAAGGUAUAUGCCAUCAGAACUGUAGACCUGGCCAAGCUCAAGAUGGGAAGACUUGAAAGUGCUUCC